CCUACGUGAGGCAGCAGUGGGGAAUAUUGGGCAAUGGGCGCAAGCCUGACCCAGCAACGCCGCGUGAAGGAAGAAGGCUUUCGGGUUGUAAACUUCUUUUCUCAGGGACGAAGCAAGUGACGGUACCUGAGGAAUAAGCCACGGCUAACUAAGUGCCAGCAGCCGCGGUAAUACGUAGGGGGCAAUCGUUAUCCGGGUUUACUGGGUGUAAAGGGCGUGUAGGCGGGACUGCAAGUCAGAUGUGAAAACCACGGGGUCAACCUGUGGCCUGCAUUUGAAACUGUAGUUCUUGAGUACUGGAGAGGCAGACGGAAUGCCUGGUGUAGCGGUGAAAUGCGUAGAUAUUAGGAAGAACACCAGUGGCGAAGGCAGUCUGCUGGA
Molecule: ribosomal RNA, 381 nt
Filed under: uncultured bacterium
Lineage: Bacteria
Description: partial 16S ribosomal RNA
Rfam family: Bacterial small subunit ribosomal RNA
Source: RNAcentral